This is a non-coding RNA of Pelobates cultripes (western spadefoot toad), 485 nucleotides long. Lineage: Eukaryota; Metazoa; Chordata; Amphibia; Anura; Pelobatidae. The record is from the annotation of a GenBank genome assembly.
CUGAAUUGUUUGUAGCCAUAUUGGAUUGGGCAUAUUUAUGUUUAGUUCUGCCUCCCAUUGUUCUAUGUAUUUGUGUUUGCAUAGUGGGUCAGCGUCAUUUAGUGCCGUGUAGCAUAGGGAUAGUGGUUUUAGUUGUGGACGUUUGCCUAUACGGUAUAGCCCAAAGUUUGUUAGUUGUGUUUCAUUGCAAUGGCGGGUUUGUAGGGAUUGGAGAAUGUGUUUGGUUCUGAUGUAUGUGAAAAUGUCCCUAGAGGGGAGUGCAUAUUCCUGUUGAAGUAUUGGGAAUGGUCUGAGGCCCGUCUCUGAAUAUAGUUGGGCCACCGAGGUUAUUCCCUGUUGUCGCCACGUUUCCAUAUUUAUAUCGUCUGCUAGUUCUGAGAUUAUUUGUAUCAGGGCGAAGUAUAUAAUGUUGUUUGUGCCGGUGAGUGGACUUGCCCAUUUAUCCAGCUGCUAAUUAAGAAUCUCGUACUGGCCAUAGGUUUGUG